Molecule: unclassified non-coding RNA, 205 nt
Filed under: Hevea brasiliensis (rubber tree)
Lineage: Eukaryota; Viridiplantae; Streptophyta; Magnoliopsida; Malpighiales; Euphorbiaceae
Source: RNAcentral
UGCUGGUCUUCGCUGCUGCGAUGGCUCAUGCCGGCACGAAGGAGCGCGGCGCCGCGAUCACCGAUCCUGAAGUGUUGCGUGUCCUUGACGGCUCAGGACUGAGCCUCGCUCGCAUGCUCGGCGCGGAUUCUGUCGGAUCAAUCGCGGAGUUGUUCGCGCUGCCAUCGAUGGCCUUGCUGCAAGCCGCGACCGAUCGCGACUUCAA